RNAcentral lists this long non-coding RNA (10403 nucleotides) under Gossypium raimondii (Peruvian cotton). RNAcentral's name for it is "long non-coding RNA (GRAI_LNC003790)". Lineage: Eukaryota; Viridiplantae; Streptophyta; Magnoliopsida; Malvales; Malvaceae. The record is from RNAcentral.
UCAAAAAAAAAAGGUAAUUAAUAGUAUUUAUUGUUUCCUUUUUUUUUCUAAAUUAUUUUUUAAAGGUUAAUACGUAAAUUUUGAAAUUAUAAAUAUUUUUAUUAUAAUUUUCUUUCAUUUUUGAUUCGUGGUGAUAAUCGUGAGAGAAAAUUAAAUUAACCCACAUGUCAAAAGACAAAAUACACCCUUAUUUUGCCCCCACGUGAGCUAUAAUCUGGAGGGUAGUUUUGGUAUUUAGCUUACGGAGAAAACUAAAAAGUGCAUAUUAAAUACUUAUUGAAUAAGAAUUCCUUCCUUCAAAAAAUUAAAAGAAUAAGGAGCAUAAAUCUUAUCAUUCAUAAGCUAAGGGCAGGGAACUAAGCUCCUUGCUUCAAUAGUAUAAUUGUAUUUUUAGUGUUUCUUUAAUAUAAAUAAUUUAAUCUAAUCGCGUUUAGUCUCUUUUAAAUAGAAAAACUAUAAAUUUUAGUCACCAUUCAAAAGUUAAAAUUUUAAUUUAAGCUUUUUAAUAUAAUAUAUUAUAUCAACACAUGACAAUUCUAUUCUCUCUCUAUACAUCAUCAUUUUUUAUUUUUAAAUUAAUAGAAGAUAAUUUAAAAUUAUAAUCUACCAUUAAAGAGAUUAUGGCUACGCUUGUUUCACUAAAAAUGAUUUCUAAAAAAUGAUUUAUUUUUUUAGAAAAGUUAAUAUUUGCUGAUGUUUGGAUGAAUCUGUGUAAAAUAUUUUCUAUUGUUUGACAGAUUUCCUGAAAAUAUUUCAUAAAAGUUGUUUUUAAUGAAACAAACAUACAUUUGAGAUUUAUAAUAAGUAGUGAAUUGAUAACAAAGUGAUAUUAAUGUGAAAUUAUAGUAAAUAAUGAAUCUUCAUGAUGUUAAGGAUUAAAUUGUAAACUUUAUAAAAUUUAUUGUACAGCCCAUUUUGCCUGGUCGAGUACCCAAAUUUACCCAAAAGCCCAAACACCCACCUAAACUAACCCUAACCUAGACCCAAAAUCUGAGCCCAACUAAAAUUAGCCCAACCAAUAGUAAUCUAAGGUUUCAGUUUUCUGAAACCCUAGCUUACUGCCUUCAGACACCCUGCCAUCGCCGCACCUAACCCUUGACCUUCCACCACCGUCGCGCCACCUACUCUGCCACUUAUUCUGCCACCGCUCGUCCAUCACCCUGCAAAAUAAACAAACACACAAAGAGCAGCAAAAAUAAUAGCAAAAAAUAGAAAUAAAUAGGCUAUAAAAGCCAACACUACCUUUGUAUAUUUUUUUAACAACCAGUGAAAGAAAAGCAGAUCAAAAAUUAAAAAAAAGGUUGAUUCCAGUUCUUUUUCUGUUCUUGCGUUUUUUAUUUUCUUUAUUUUUCUUUUUAUUUUAUUUUAUUUUUGUUCGUUUCACUACUCUUUUUAACAAAAACAAAACGAAAAAGGGAAAGAAAGAUACUUGUUCGCUUCGAAGACCGGCGUCGGAGCCCAUCUUCGCCGUCGUCGGAGUCGAACACAGAAAAAGGCCCUUUCUUUCUCUCGGUCCCGCGGUUGAGAAGGCCAAGCCUUCGAAUACACCGAAAGGAGGGCUAAAAAGCCCAUUUCGCGCAACUCCGACCAAUGGCCGUGGAGGUGGCGCGGCGGAGGACAGAAUCCAAGGCCGGAAGUCGUGAGGGAGAGAGAGAAAAGGAGGGAAUUCAGUUUUUUUUAAGAAAAAAAAGCAGAAAAUGAAGUAAAAAAAAACUUUGAUUUUUAAUAGCUUUUCAAAACGGCGCCGUUUUGCGCCAUAGCCCCAGGCGUUGAAACGACGCCGUUUCACCCUGACCCGCGCAGUGACCCGACAUUGAGGGGAGGAUCCGCGUGUUUUCUUUAAAAGGGAUAUUUGCGCGCGCAGUCCCUCCGCUUUUGCAAUGCGUUGCAAUUGGCCCCUUUUUCCUUCUUUUCUUUAUUUUUAAUUUAGCCGUAUAAUUUUAUCGUUGUUUCAUUUUAGUUCCGUGUAAAGUGCUGCGUUUUGGAGGGCGGGGAUAUUUUCCUCUUUAGUCCCUCCUUGUUAUUCGCGCACUCAAUUCGGUCCUCCUCUGUUAAUUUAUUUACAAAUUUGCCCCCCGAAUUUUGUUUUAAAAUUCAAUUUAGCUCUUUUUUUAUAUUUUGGUUAUUUUAUUAUUAAAAUUAAUAAAUUUGAUAUUAUUACUGUUAUUAUUAAUUAUUAUUGCUGUUAUUUGUUCAUUUAUACCUUUAAAAUUUCAAUUUUUAUCACAUAUAUAUAUGUUCAUGCUUACAUUUUUAUAUACAUAUAUACAUACAUAUUUUUAUUGUAUGUGUACGCAUAUAAUUUUUCAAGUUUAUUUAUAUAUAUAUACCUACCUAGAUAUAUAUUAUUUAUGCUUUAUACUUUAUAUAUGUAUACACAUACUUUUACUUUUGUGAACACAUACACAUAUUCAUAUAUUUUUUAUAUUUUCAUAUAAUUUAUAUAGAUACCUACAUAUUUUUAGAUAUAUACAUACCUAUGUCUUUUACGCUUUAUAAUUUAUAUAUACAUAAAUAUGUAUAUUCGUUUAUAUAUAUAUACAUGUAUAUAAACUCACGCAUUUUUAUAAUUUAUAAUUUAAAUAUACUAAUGUACAUACGUAAAUAUUUUAUCUCUUAUUAUUCGUAUUGUUAUUUUCGUUCUAUUUGAUAUUUAUUUAUUUAUUUAUUCAUGUGUUCAUUAUUAUUUUUAGGAAACGCUUUAGUUUUUUUAUUAUUAUUUCAUAUAUACUUGACUUUUUAUUUUAUGUAUUUUAUUUCUUUUUUUGAUUAUUGCUUAUAUUAGUUGUGCAUGUAUCAUCAUUAUCAUUUUAUUAUACAUGUUAAUAUUGCCUUUAUUCCUACCAUUUUAUGUUAAGUUAAUUUUAUUUAAUAUGGUUUUAAAAUAAACAAAGUUUCGUAUUUUGAAAUUCGAGAAGAUCGUGCCCUAACUUACGGGGUUUCGAUCUUCACGACAAAUUCAAAUACACGAAUCAUUUCAAACAAAAUUUUUAAAUGUUCUCGGGAAUUAACAAAAGAUCGUGUUCUAACUCACGGGACAUGACAUUUUUUUAAACUUGAGAUAAUCAAACUCUUUCAAUAUAAAUAUUUUUUUUUUAGCAUUCAUUCUCGUAUCGAGAAUUUUAGAUAUUGUGUCCUAACUUACGGGAUGUGAUUCUUUUUCUUGAAUAACGCAAAAAUAUGCUUCUCUCCCUAAAUUUAUACAAGUUUUUUUAAAUAACAAGGAUCGUGUUUCGAACCUUUUUAAAUUUUUUUUAAAUUUUCGACAUUAAGACUUUAACUAAUCAGUUAGAUACCAAUUUUUGGGCGUUACGAGGGUGCUAACCCUUCCUCGUACGUAACUGACUCCCGAACCUGUUUUUCUGAAUUUCGUGGACUAAAAUCGUUGUUUUAAUAAAAUCAAACCGUUUAUUAAAAACAACCACUUUUCGAGGUGAUCCAAUCACAUCUCAUUAAAAAGUAUUGGUGGCGACUCCCGUUUUCGUUUUCAUUUUUCAAAACCUAAGUCGACCCCGUUUUCACCAAAAAAAUGGUGUCAACAUUUAUAAUUGAAACAAGAUAAAUGAUAUGCAUGAAAAUUUGUUAUGUGAAAUAAGAUAUUAUAAUGAAUUAUUUAAUUAAAGUGCUUAUAUGGUGAAAAAUAAAUUACAUGACAAUAGGGGCUAAAUUGAAAAUUGUACAAAAGUUUAAGUGUGAAACAAUUUAAUAUGUGAAUAAAAAAUUAUGAUAAAAGUUUAAUGAAUGUGUUAUGAGAUGCUGAAAUAUGUAUAAAGUUUUGUAAAAGUGAAAUUGUGGAAAAAUAUGGAAUUUUUAUGAUGACAAGGAUUAAAUUGUUAAACUUGAGAAAAUAUGUGGAUGGAAUAAUAAAAGUGAAAUACAUAAAAAUUUGAUCUUUGAAACAAGAUUGAGAUAAAUUAUGUGAUUAAAGUGUAACAAAAAAAUUGAUUUAAUAUGAUUAAUUAGUGAAUAUUGAUCUUUUUACGACAAAAAAGGACUAAAUUGAUAAAUUAUGAAAGCUUAUAAAAAAUAUUUGAUAAGUAAAGAAUGUAGUAUAGAACAUAACAUCCUAGUGCUUUGACUCGAUGUUCGGGUCAAGUAUGGGGGUGUUACUGUGAACAGGGCCUUAUCAGUUUAGAAAAUGGCUUACAAAAAAAAUAUUUUACAAGAAUAAGGGAAUAAUUUUAUGUUGACUAAAAAACUUUUUAUGUUGACAAUCUAUUUUACAUGAAACAAACCUUGGAGAAAACUAAAAAUAUUUUCUAUAAAAACUUUUAAGUUAAACAAAGGAACCUGUAUAAAGAUAUGUUUUCAAAUUUUAAACUGAAAAUUGACAAGUUUAUAAAUUUUAAAUAGGAAAAAAUAAGAGUUGUGGAUUUAUGAAAAUAUGAAAGAAAUACGAAUGAUUUCUGAGAAGUACAGUGAAACCCAAAAGAAUUCCAAGUAAAAUAUUCUCGUCAACAAGCACAACAAGAAAGAAAAUGCGAUGGUCGAGUUUGUGAGAUUGUGAAAGCAAGUGGUGGUUGGGACGCUUCACCAUUUGAUGGUAGAAACUAUCGACGUAGGCAAAAAGAAACUUUACGAGGCCAAAGUGGGUUAAACCUUGGAUGAACUUUAAAGAAUUGCAGGAGUUUAAACAUGCUGGUUGCUCUUCUUUCAUCGCAAACGAAUUAUAAUACUUAAAUCAUGAUGAACAAUUUAGCUGUUUUCCGAAUUCAGGUGUUUGGACUAGAGAAGUACCUAUUUAUCCUGGCUUAUUUUGAAGACGAUUUAAGAUGAAUGCCGACCCUUCACGGUUUCGAAUUCUCAACACGACCCGAUUAGGAGCCGCUCCAGCAACAUUAACUAGGGAACAAAACAAGCUCUCAUAGAAAAACUGUGUUGCAUCUCAUAUACAUAUCUAUAUCCUUGUGAUUUCUAUCGGUUUUUUAAUCUUAAUCGGAGGCGUCUUUUGAUAAGAAGGCUUGAGACCCUCUCUAUAUGUGAUCUUCCCUUUUGAGCUUUGUCUUGUUUAUAUCUUUGUUUGCAAUGAUUGAAACUUUCAGAAAACAUUUCUUUCUUGUACUAGACAUUAGACAACCAAGUUAGUUCCCUGUAAUUUGUGUUUAUAUGAUGAAUGUGAAAAAGGAAUGAAAAAAGAGAGUUUAUUUUGCACUUUCACGUUACUGUAAAUUUUAAAUUUUAUUUCUUUAACCUAUUAAAUGAAAUUAUGUUAAUUUCCAAAUAAUUUAUAUGAUCUACUUAAUAUAAGAUGUAUCACGUCCCUAAAAUUUCAACAUUUAGAAAAACGUUUAUAUUUAAAAAAUCAAUCUUAAUUACAUUUAAAAUAAUUCCACUUAUAAAUUUAAUAAAUAAUAACAAAAAAUUGUUAUAAUAUAAUACAUUCAAUACAACUUGUUAUAUAAUAUCUCACAAACCCAAAUCUGAUCCUCCCGGGUGAUCUGAAAUCUAACCCGAUCAAGGAAGGGAUGUCAUCCAGCUUGUCAGUCAGUCACUCCUCGGCUCGCCACCUCCUUGUUUGUACACCCGCAAUGAUACUUCUCCGAGGAACCCCUCAGAGGUUACAUAUCAAGUCUAGGGGGGAUAACGUGUUCUCAUGCAUGCACCUAGUUAUCCCCUAGCACGUCCCAUCAAAGAACUAUGCCUUGUAAAUACAAGGAGUAAUCCCAUGAGAGGGGGGGGGGAAGGAACCAUCAACACUUGGUGCAGUGAGCGUUGAUAGACUUCCGGCGUUCAUAUUGAAGAUAGAUCGAUAUGGCUCACCCAAACGAGAGAACCCCCAACACAUCCUUUUCAAACCAGAAUGUGAGAGGAGAAGCGAGUAAUUGUCCCGAUAAACUUGACCUCUUUGUAGAUUGGUUAACGAAUCAACCCGAAAACUUGAGCAACUCAGAUCAGUAGGAAACAUAACGUAAUUUCAACCUUAAUUUUUUUUGUCAAAUCGAGAGAUUUCCAACCCAUCUAACUAGGAGACUCCACAACAGCAGAUUGUAAGCCUACAAGAGCAGGUACGUGUUUUAAAGGAGUAGAUGGUACAACAAAUUAUCAUAUAUGAACCACAACUUUAUCAUCAAGAGCAGCUCAGACGAAAUGAGGAGAUGAUGCGAAAGAUGCGAUAAGACCAUUCUGGUCAUCAUGAUAACAACAUGCCCUUGUAGGAGGAGGGCUAUGGAGUAUAUGCAAGGCCAUGGCAAUAGGAAAUGGAUACCUUGCACUGAGACAUCUAGGCGCUACAUCCUAACGUCGAUGACAUGAAUUGGGUCUUUUGUGCUAACAAUCCUUUAGCCCCAUAAAUUGCAGCGGUGGGAUUACCUUUGGAGUUUAAAGUGCCAAAAUAGGUCUUCGAGGGAAGAAGGAACCCAUAAUCAUAUCUGAUGCAGUAUAAUGACUACAUGAAUGUUCUGGGAGCUUCGGAUGCUACGAAGUGCAAGGCUUUCUCCAUGAAUUUAAAGGGAAGUGUUAAUGAUUGAUAUUUUUCUUUGCCAUAGGGCUUUAUUAGGAGCUUCACACAGCUAGGUCAGUUGUUUCUGGGAAGAUUUCGUGCCAGAAUAAUCAUGAGUACUCCAAUGGGCUUAAUGUUGGUCAAGUAGAAGGAAGGAGAGUCUUUGUAGGAGUAUAUAAAGCGUUUUCAUGUGGUGACCUUGAAUACAAAAAACUUGGAAAAUCAAUGGGUCAUUGAUUCUUUCAUCAUGGGGGUGUUGAGUGAGCAUGUUCAGUAUUCGUUCAUAAGUAAUAGACUGCAAAACCUAGCAGACCUUUAUGAAAGAGCUUACAAGUUCGCAGAAGGGGAGGAAAUUAAAAAGUCAACUCAUUCUUUUCACCGAGAAGAUAGACAAGCUAGAGAGUGGUCAAAUAUUCGUAGGCAACCAGGGUACACCCCGUAGAUUUUAUGGAUACAAAGUGGGGGACAACAUAAGAACUAUUCGCAGGGUGUUUCUCUGCCAAGCUUUCAAAGACUCCAGCAUGAGUCCACGAGAAGGUACAUCUCCGUAACUUGAUUUAAUUUAUCAUGCUUGUUUCUUUUGAUUAUUAUAAUUUCAAGUUUUUAGUAGACAAUAACCUCGUAUGUUAUGGGCUAGAAUGCGAAGUGGUGAAUUGUGAAACGAUGAGUUAGCGAAAAGUGUUAGUAAGCAGCGAGGAGAGGUAGCAAAAUCGUUUUGGGGUUUCUCUCUCCUUUAUUUUACAGAUUUGUUAGUAGAAUAACUAAGAAUGAAAUCGACAUAAUUUUCUCUUUCCCUCUAUUCGCUCCACGAUUUUUUCCCUCAAUUCGCUGCUUACAAGAUUUUUCUAGUCUUACGGCUGGCUAAUUUAAUAUCUCAACCUUAUACUUACAGGAUUUUCCCGAUCUUACAGUUUGCCGAUUUAAGAUCGCAACCUUAUGCUUAUAAGAUUUUUUAAAUCUUGCGGCUGGCCGAUUUAAGAUCGUUGCCUUAUACUUACAGGAUUUUUUGAAUCUUGCGAUUUUUUGAUUUAAGAUCGCAACCUUAUACUUACAAGAUUUUCUGAAUCUUACAGCUCGCUGAUUUAAGAUCGAAACAUUAUACUUAUAAGAUUUUUUGAAUAUUGUGGGUUGCCGAUUUAAGAUCUCAACCUUAUACUUACAAGAUUUUCCAAAUCUUGUUGCUCACCAAUUUAAGAUCGCAACCUGCCUUAUACUUGCAAGAUUUUAUGAAUCUUGUGGCUCGCCAUUUAAGAUCCCAGCCUUAUACUUACAAGAUUUCUAGAAUCUUGCAGUUUUCAAUUUAAGACUGCAACUUUCUCAUAUAGUUGAUUUCAAUUUUAAAGUUGCAAAACCCAUAGAAAACUGACGUAGUUUUUCGGUACAAUUCGCAAUAUUUUCGCAACACUAUUCUCAUUAUUUUUACAAUACUAUUUACAAUAUUUUCACAAUAAAGCUAGCAAUAUUUUGCAGUACCAAUUGCAUUAUUUUUAAAUCACAACUCGUUGAAUUUUUGCUGUACAGCUCGCCAAUUUUUUGUUAUACAGCUCGUCUAAUUUUUCAAUAUACAAUUCACCAUAUUUUCACUAUAUUGCAGGUAUUUUCACCAUACAAUUUUCCAUAUUUUUUCUAUGCUACUCACCGUACACACUGAUGCUAUCCCUAAUGUUACAUGCUAAAUUAAGUGGCAAUUUUAACAUUAUGAAAAAAAAUAUAUAUCAAAACCCAAAUCAACAUCACUGACUCCCUCAAAGAAUCGAAGUUUACACAACACUGUCAUGCAACAAAGUUUACUUAGUAAGUUUCAAUUAGAACUUACAUAACACGCCAUCAAUUACACAGAUAAGAUGUGUAAACCUGUCUCAAAAGAGUCACUUUAGAACUCUUCUUCGACAAAGUGGGGGAUAAAUUGUUAUAUAAUACCUCACAAACCAUAAAUCUGAUUCGCCCAGAUGAUCCAGAAUCUGACCCGAUCAAGGAAGGGAUGUCAUCUAGCUCACCAAAUCCGCUAGCUUGCCACUCCCUAACUCAUCACCUCCCUGUUCGUACACCUGUAAGGAUACCUCUCUGAGGAGCCUCUUUGAGGAACCCUUCAGAGGUUACGUGUUAGGUCUAGGGGGCAAUGUGUCUUCAUGCAUGGCUCCUGGUUAUCCCCUAGCACGUCCCAUAAAAAAUCAUGCCUUAUAAAAUAACUAAAAAUAAAAUAAAAAAUAAUUGUUAUAAUAUUUUAAUAUAAUAUGUACCAUAUUCUUCUACCCUAUAAUCUCAAAAAUUUUAUUUAAAUAUUUUUAUACAUAAAAAUGGUAAACAUAAAAUGGGCUAACCCCUACCAUAUUAAUUAUAACUCUUUUUAAAUAAAUUAUAACUUAAUUAUCCUAACUAUUUUAAUUAAAAUCUAAAAUAUUAUCUAACCUAUUAAUUUAUAUUUCUAAUUAUCUUCACUAAAUUAAAACUUUAAUUUUCAUAAUAUAAUUUAAACUUCUAAUUAUCUUAAUUUACACAAAAUCUAAUCUAAACUAUUAAAAAUAAACACAUUAUUUUCUUUUAUUCAUUUGUGUUAUGAAUAUCUUAUUAAGUGGAUAUCUAUCAAGAUCAAAAUAAGUUUUAAUGUACUUUAAUUCUAAUAGUUAUUAAAAUUAGAUGUAACACCCUUUACCCGAGACCGUUGCCGGAGCCGAGCACGAGGCGUUACCUGUCUUAACUUACUAAUUCGGAGCAUAAAAAUUUGCUUUUAAAAUUAAUUCACUCACCUUCAAUCAAUAUUUCCCUAAAAAGGACCCUCGAGACCCUAAAACAUGCAAUGGAAAUGGUUCAGGUCCAAACCGAGAACAUUAAAAAUUGUCCGAAUACUUAAACAAAUCAAAAUAAUUUAUUUCGCUACUCACAAUAAAACUGUCCACUCGCAUAACAGUCACUAAUCUAAUUAUAACUCGAGUUACAAAACUUGAAAUUUAGAUCCGUAAAUUUUUCCUGAAACGAGACUUAUAUAUAUUCUUACCAUAAAAUUUCCAGAAUUUUUGGGUCAGCCAAAUAGUACAGUUUAUUCUUUAAAGUCUCCCAUGUUUCACUAUCUGACGGUUCUGACCCCUAUUCACUAAAAAUCAAUUAUCUCAUUGUACAGAAUUCGGAUAAUGUUCUCGCUUAUUUAUUUUGAAAAUAGAAUUAUGACUAAUAAUUAUUUCUAUGAAAUUUUUAAUUAUUUUCUAAAGUCAGAACAGGGGACUUCAAAAACCAUUCUAACUCUGUCUCACUAAAAUUCAAAUAUCUCAUAAUAUAUAAUUCCUUUGCCUACACUGUUUCUUUCAUGUAAAAAUAGACUCGAUAAGAUUUAAUUCUGUAUCUCAUUCACUCUCUAAUUCCAUUUCUACUAUGCUUGGUGAUUUUUCAAAACCACAUUAAUGCUGCUGUUCAAAAACCGUUCCAUUGAAAAUUUUUACUCUUUUAUAAUUUCUUUGUAUUAACUAUCAUUUAGGCAUACAUAACAUCAAAACAUGUUCUUAAAUAGCCAUUUCAAUAGCUAUUCAUUAGCCAUAUCAUAAGGACACACACAAAAUGACUAAUUCCCUAUACAUGCCAUAACUUAAAACGUUUCGAUCACAAAAUACCAAGAUGGUCUGUUGAUAGUGUGAAACGAUCUCCGACGCCCUUACGAUCCCCGAAUUGGCUUGGCGAUACUAUAAAAAGAAGGAAAAUAAAGGGGGUAAGCUCAAAAAAAAAGAAGAAAAAAGCAUUCGUACUCUCAUAACUCAAGUCAAAUAACUCGCAAAAUGCUCAAAAAAUAAUCCUUAGGCAUUCCUUUAUUGAGUGGUCUCUAACCCCUUUUUUGUUUGUCUCGCUUAGAAUCUAUUACGAUUCUUCAUUUUAAUCUAGUUGUUGAGAAAAUGGAAAAGGGUAUUUCCUUGUUCUAGGAUCUUUUAUCUUUGCCUUGAAUCAUUGGGUUUAGACAUUCCUUCGGCGAUAUUUAAAA